AUGACCCUUUGUGCGGAACGACUGACACCUUUUGCGAGCACAAGCGUUCAUUCCAGCAAAAAAUUGCGGUACAAAUUGCAAAAAGUGCUUAUUCCGCUAGCGAUUGGAUAAAAGUCGGUUGCCAAGAGCCGCCCAACACGCAUAGACAGGCAGAAAGACAGACGCGCGUGCAAAAAGGGCUAAGUGUUGCUGAUUGCUAGCAGAAAUCCAGGACUCGAGGACACGUUCAGCCGGAAGUAGAGACGCCAGCAAGCAGCGACCAUGUCCGGCAUUGCUAUCACACGUCUGGGGGAGGAGCGCAAGGCCUGGAGGAAGGAUCACCCGUUCGGGUUCGUCGCCCGACCCGCCAAGAACCCCGACGGCACCCUCAACCUGAUGAUCUGGGAGUGCGCCAUUCCCGGCAAGAAGUCCACCCCCUGGGAGGGCGGUCUCUACAAGCUGCGCAUGAUCUUCAAGGACGACUACCCCACAUCGCCGCCCAAGUGCAAGUUCGAGCCGCCACUGUUCCACCCGAACGUCUAUCCCUCGGGCACCGUCUGCCUGUCGCUGCUGGACGAGGAGAAGGACUGGCGCCCCGCCAUCACCAUCAAGCAAAUCCUGCUGGGCAUCCAGGACCUGCUCAACGAGCCGAACAUCAAGGACCCGGCCCAGGCGGAGGCCUACACCAUCUACUGCCAGAAUCGACUGGAGUACGAGAAGCGGGUGCGCGCCCAGGCCCGCGCCAUGGCGGCCACCGAGUAGUCGGGCUCCUGCCAGUCACCUUCCCCACAUAGACAUUAACAAAUACACACACAUCUAGCCGCUUGUACCAUCUGCAUAAAUCCCAAUAAGUCCUGUAAUUCUAUGAUGAGCCCCAAAGUGGCUACGUGGCACCCAGAAGCCGACGCUCCCUUCCAUCUUCGAUUCUGGGUGCAUGUCCGAUUGUUCUACGGGCUAUUUUGUAUCGCAAGUACUACGUACAAACAUAUGUAAUUUCAAUAAAAAUGUAUUAGUUGUAAAA
This 1000-nucleotide unclassified non-coding RNA is filed under the name Drosophila yakuba. RNAcentral describes it as "GE16073". Lineage: Eukaryota; Metazoa; Arthropoda; Insecta; Diptera; Drosophilidae. The record is from RNAcentral.